AGCAGCCGCGGUAAUUCCAGCUCCAAUAGCGUAUAUUAAAGUUGUUGCAGUUAAAAAGCUCGUAGUUGAACUUCGGGGUUUACCCAUUGGUCAGGCUUAAUUGUCUGUACUGGUGAGAUAAAUCUCUACCUUCUGAGGAACUUUCAUGCCAUUUAUUUGGUGUGAUUGGAAAUCAGGACUAUUACUUUGAAAAAAUUAGAGUGUUUAAAGCAGGCUAACGUCUGAAUAUAUUAGCAUGGAAUAAUGAAAUAGGACGGCUUGGUUCUAUUUCGUUGGUUUCUAGGAUCACCGUAAUGAUUAAUAGGGAUAGUUGGGGGCAUUAGUAUUCAAUUGUCAGAGGUGAAAUUCUUGGAUUUAUUGAAGACUAACUACUGCGAAAGCAUUUGCCAAGGAUGUUUUCAUUAAUCAAGAACGAAAGUUAGGGGAUCGAAGACGAUCAGAUACCGUCGUAGUCUUAACCAUAAACUAAUGCCGACUAGGGAUCGGACGAAGUUAAUUUUAUAAUUGACGCGUUCGG
This 517-nucleotide ribosomal RNA is filed under the name uncultured Diversispora. RNAcentral describes it as "SSU rRNA". It matches the Rfam family "Eukaryotic small subunit ribosomal RNA", at positions 569 to 1083 of the family's 1831-position model. The record is from RNAcentral. Lineage: Eukaryota; Fungi; Glomeromycota; Glomeromycetes; Diversisporales; Diversisporaceae.